GACAGAGGGUGCAAACGUUGCUCGGAAUUACUGGGCGUAAAGCGCGUGUAGGCGGCAACGCAAGUCGGGCGUGAAAUCCCACGGCUCAACCGUGGAAGUGCACUCGAAACUGCGUAGCUAGAGUCCUGGAGAGGAAGGUGGAAUGCUUGGUGUAGAGGUGAAAUUCGUAGAUAUCAAGCGGAACACCGGUGGCGAAGGCGGCCUUCUGGACAGUGACUGACGCUGAGACGCGAAAGCGUGGGGAGCAAACAGG
RNAcentral lists this ribosomal RNA (253 nucleotides) under uncultured bacterium. RNAcentral's name for it is "partial 16S ribosomal RNA". It matches the Rfam family "Bacterial small subunit ribosomal RNA", at positions 524 to 776 of the family's 1533-position model. The record is from RNAcentral.